GAUGAACGCUGGCGGCGUGCUUAACACAUGCAAGUCGAACGGAAAGGCCCAAGCUUGCUUGGGUACUCGAGUGGCGAACGGGUGAGUAACACGUGGGUGAUCUGCCCUGCACUUCGGGAUAAGCCUGGGAAACUGGGUCUAAUACCGGAUAGGACCACGUCUUGGAUGUUGUGGUGGAAAGUUUUUUCGGUGUGGGAUGAGCUCGCGGCCUAUCAGCUUGUUGGUGGGGUAAUGGCCUACCAAGGCGUCGACGGGUAGCCGGCCUGAGAGGGUGUACGGCCACAUUGGAACUGAGAUACGGGCCAGACUCCUACGGGAGGCAGCAGUGGUGAAUAUUGCACAAUGGGCGCAAGCCUGAUGCAGCGACGCCGCGUGGGGGAUGACGGCCUUCGGGUUGUAAACUCCUUUCGCUAGGGACGAAGCGUUUUUGUGACGGUACCUGGAGAAGAAGCACCGGCUAACUACGUG
This 468-nucleotide ribosomal RNA is filed under the name uncultured bacterium. RNAcentral describes it as "partial 16S ribosomal RNA". It matches the Rfam family "Bacterial small subunit ribosomal RNA", at positions 28 to 507 of the family's 1533-position model. The record is from RNAcentral.